GACGAACGCUGGCGGCAUGCCUAACACAUGCAAGUCUAGGGGUAGCAAUACCACUGGCGCACGGGUGAGUAACACGUAGGUUAUCUGCCCCCAUCACAGACAUAACCCCGGGAAACCGGGGCUAAUAUCUGAUGAGGUCGCGAGAUCAAAGCUUCGGCGGAUGGGGAUGAGCCUGCGGCUGAUUAGCUAGUUGGUGAGGUAAUGGCUCACCAAGGCGACGAUCAGUAGCUGGUCUGAGAGGACGAACAGCCACACUGGAACUGAGACACGGUCCAGACUCCUACGGGAGCAGCAGUGAGGAAUAUUGGUCAAUGGGAGCAAUCCUGAACCAGCAAUGCCGCGUGUGGGAUGACAGGGCUUCGCCUUGUAAACCACUGUCGGACGGGACGAAAGGAGGGCCCUCGGGGCCCUCUGGGGACGGUACCGUCAAAGGAAGGGUCGGCUAACUACGUGCCAGCAGCCGCGGUAA
This 469-nucleotide ribosomal RNA is filed under the name uncultured bacterium. Its description in RNAcentral is "bacterial SSU rRNA". It matches the Rfam family "Bacterial small subunit ribosomal RNA", at positions 28 to 523 of the family's 1533-position model. The record is from RNAcentral.